Molecule: non-coding RNA, 66 nt
Organism: Thalictrum thalictroides
Lineage: Eukaryota; Viridiplantae; Streptophyta; Magnoliopsida; Ranunculales; Ranunculaceae
Source: the annotation of a GenBank genome assembly
GGGGAUGUAGCUCAGAUGGUAGAGAUAGAUGGUAGAGAUGCGGGGGAUCGAUACCCCGCAUCUCCA